CAGCCGGGUAAUUCCAGCUCCAAUAGCGUAUAUUAAAGUUGUUGCAGUUAAAAAGCUCGUAGUUGAAUUUCGGGAUCAAUGUUUCGGUCAUGCCGUUGGUAUGUACUGAUAUUAUUGAUUUCUCACCUUCUAAAGAACCGUAAUGCCAUUAAUUUGGUGUCACGGGGAAUUAGGACUGUUACCUUGAAAAAAUUAGAGUGUUUAAAGCAGGCUUACGCUUGAAUACAUUAGCAUGGAAUAAUGAAAUAGGACAUCCGAUUCUAUUUUGUUGGUUUCUAGGAUCGAUGUAAUGAUUAAUAGGGAUAGUUGGGGGCAUUAGUAUUCAAUUGUCAGAGGUGAAAUUCUUGGAUUUAUUGAAGACUAACUACUGCGAAAGCAUUUGCCAAGGAUGUUUUCAUUAAUCAAGAACGAAAGUUAGGGGAUCGAAGACGAUCAGAUACCGUCGUAGUCUUAACCAUAAACUAUGCCGACUAGGGAUCGGAUGAUGUUAAUUUUUUAAUGACUCAUUCGGCGCCUUACG
This 520-nucleotide ribosomal RNA is filed under the name uncultured Glomus. RNAcentral describes it as "SSU rRNA". It matches the Rfam family "Eukaryotic small subunit ribosomal RNA", at positions 571 to 1092 of the family's 1831-position model. Lineage: Eukaryota; Fungi; Glomeromycota; Glomeromycetes; Glomerales; Glomeraceae. The record is from RNAcentral.